This 915-nucleotide ribosomal RNA is filed under the name Triticum aestivum (bread wheat). Its description in RNAcentral is "partial small subunit ribosomal RNA". Lineage: Eukaryota; Viridiplantae; Streptophyta; Magnoliopsida; Poales; Poaceae. The record is from RNAcentral.
AUGAAGCAUGAUCAUUCUGUGUCUGGCAGUUACCAGGACGCCUAUAGGCAAGCAGCCGUUGUUUCAUGGCAUGAUGACCCUGAUGCGCUGGUGAAAUUUGCCACGUCUUCCUUGAACAUGGAGUCCGCCCAGUUGUUAACUAUAUUGCAGGGCACACUCACCAACGGCAGAGUUGAAUGCCUCACCAUGGCUCUGCCACAUCAAUAUCCACCUACCAAGUCCGAGGAGCAGGCUCAGCAAGUGACCCAGGCGACCUCAAACUCACAUGUCUUGAGCAAAAACCAGAAAAGGUUCAUUUCAGAGUUGCAGAAAAAAUUCAGGCGCGACCAAAACUUCUUUGUCAGAAAGGUCAAGGCGGCAUUGAGGCACUACUCCCAGCAAAAAGGGGUGCACUAUAAACUUCAUAUCAUCUGCGGUGUGAAUCCUAGUGUACCGGGCGGAUCAAGUGCUGCUCUUUUCAAGAAGAGGUUCCGAUUUGAGUACUUCCAUAUCAACUUCUUGGCAACAGCUAAGGGACCAAAUUCUGCUGUUGCAGCUCCAGAAUUGUUCUUCGCUCAAUGUAGCAAUAGUGUCGAAGAGAGGCGGAAGAGACCAUCCUGGUGCUCCCCUGUAUUAGAUUCUCGCAUAGAUAAUGUUCGAUGCUUCUCUUGUGAGUUUAAUGGGGCAAAGAUUGUGCAUCCAUAUGAUGAAUUAUAUUGGGGGCGCUACAAAGAUUUCAAUAUCAUAGCUCAGGGAAAACAUGGCACUCCGAAUGAUCUUCUCAUCAGCUCCUCCCAUUAUCAUUCUGACAUGAUGGCCACAAUGACAGAAGAUUUUAUCUAUUUUGAUCCCAACACGGACUCGGAGUUUGCAAAGAUGAAUCCUAUUUCUAAUGUGGCUAGGGAGUUGAAAGGAUUCAAGGGUAGAAUCUUCUGA